Calidris pugnax (ruff) is the source of this 670-nucleotide long non-coding RNA. RefSeq lists it as uncharacterized. NCBI's taxonomy places the organism in Eukaryota, Metazoa, Chordata, Aves, Charadriiformes, Scolopacidae. The transcript is spliced from 5 exons. The record is from RefSeq and is a predicted model, not a curated record.
UCUAUGAUGGCGGCUGCGGGAAGGGUUAGGAGUUGUGGCGCCGGGAGAAUGGCGCACCAUCCGCCGCCAUCCGCCGCCAUCCGCCUUCCCCGGGGGCUCUCCCGCCGCAUCGGCGUCCCGAUGGGCCGUGAAGGGGCAGCGCGGCCGCGGGAGAGCCUUGUUCCCUCUCUCCUUCCUUCCUCCCGGGCCGGGCCCGGCGUGCGGGGAAGAUGGCGGGGCCGCCUCGGCAGCAGCCUGGCCUGGAAGGUGAUCCCAUCGCUGGAUGGAUGGUGGCUCCUCGGAUAGCGGCGUUGGGCAGGGUUGUUGGUGUUCCAGAGCUCGCUCCGCCGAUGGCCGGAUAGUCCCAAGGAAUUAACUCAUUUAGUGGAAAAGGCCGAGAGCAUGUGAGCCCCUGUCCCUGGUGAAGGGGUUCGGUUGUGUCCCUGGGGCUGGAGAGGUGACACGGGGCAGGUGUAAGUGGAGCCGUUUCCCCGAGGGUUUGGUGCAAGAGCUUGUUCUUUCCCAGCCUGGCUCCUUCCCGGGCCUGGAGCUCCCCCACCUGGGAACAGCAGCUCCAGGUGUUGCUCAGGCUCCUGUUGAACCUGAAGAGUGGACCCUUCUGUGGGCUUUUCUCUGGAGAAGAGCUUGGAUAUAAAGUAUUUUGAGGGUGAAUAAAUGGAAUUGCUUGAAA